GCCUUCGUGGUGUAAUGGUCAGCAAACUCGGCGCGUAAUGAGAAGUCCGAGGUUCGAGUCCCGGCGAGAGCA
Molecule: transfer RNA, 72 nt
Filed under: Stegodyphus mimosarum
Lineage: Eukaryota; Metazoa; Arthropoda; Arachnida; Araneae; Eresidae
Rfam family: tRNA
About the family: Transfer RNA (tRNA) molecules are approximately 80 nucleotides in length.
Source: Rfam by way of RNAcentral